UUUGCAGUCAAUUGUUUGAAGAAGAUGAGAAUAAAUUAUUGACGGGUUGGGAAGAUGAUAUUGCAGAUGUUGCUAAGAAGAUAGUCGAAGAGCAAAGCCCAAAACAGUUGUAUAGUUCGUGGAAAACUUAAAAAGCUUAUUGAAUAUGAUGUCUCCCCCAAUUUCAUUUUUAGGACUCUAGUAGAUGAAUUAAAGAAGUUUUUGGAUGAAGAAUUACAACGUCGAAUUGAGGGUUUCUAUGCUGAUUAUAAUAAAAUGGAGGAAAAAUCAUUUGUUAGUGAAAAAGGCAGUGGGGAAGAGGCGGUGGCCAAAGGGCAGCAUGAUCCUAUGAGAAAGAAUGUUAACCACUUUUUGAAGAUUGAAGAAUUCAUAGCGAAGUUCAUGAGCUGCUAUAAGGGAGAAGCAAAUGCCAUGAAAAUAAAUAAAUAAAUAAUCUCAAUAUUUGAAAGGUUGGUUUUCGGGAAAAACUCACUUUUGAAUUUUCCCCUUGGUAUAUCAGAUUCUUGCUUAAUAUAUAUUUAUACACAAACUUAUAUAUAUAUAUAUAAAAUAUAUUAUUACUUGUCAUGUAAUAUUUACUAGAAUUUUUUUUCAA
Molecule: non-coding RNA, 595 nt
Organism: Benincasa hispida (wax gourd)
Lineage: Eukaryota; Viridiplantae; Streptophyta; Magnoliopsida; Cucurbitales; Cucurbitaceae
Source: RefSeq, a predicted model, not a curated record